RNAcentral lists this long non-coding RNA (926 nucleotides) under Prunus persica (peach). RNAcentral's name for it is "long non-coding RNA (PPER_LNC005908)". The record is from RNAcentral. Lineage: Eukaryota; Viridiplantae; Streptophyta; Magnoliopsida; Rosales; Rosaceae.
AUUUUUCUAAAAGUAAAAGUAUACAUUAAAUCAUAUAAACUACGCUAAUUGUAAACAUAAGACAAAGAUGGAAUUAGAGCCAUGAAUUUCAUUUAGAAAAAUGCUUCUCUUUUCGAGACAUUAAAAAGAUUAAAAUUAAAGAAUUAGAGCUAAGGGCUUUAUCCUCACUAUGCAUAUUGGUGUUGGGAAAAUAUAUGUGGAAGACCUCUAACUAUGCCUAUUGGUGUUGGUAAGGUUUGAAAUUGUUUAUUUUUCUUUAUUUUUAAUUUAAGAUACUCGGGUACUCAACUAUAUAGGUUUUUUUUUCCCCCAAAACCUUCCCUAGGCUACAACUAACCAGAGCCCAUAUAAUGGUUCCGCCAAUGGAUCUCUGACAAACUAAAAAUCUUAUGUGGUUCUAAACUUGGGUGACUAGUUGGGCACCUACAUGUGUUAUAAGUCCAGCCCAAUAUUUAAAAAAAUAAAAUAAAAAGCAAACUCUACACACAUGUUACCCAUCCAGGUGGUCCCAUAUCUUCUCUCUCAUUCUCUUUUUGACUAUGUGACUUGUUGUUUCUCUCUCUCUUUGCUACCCGACAUCAGCAACUUGUUUCUCCCUCUUUUUUUUUUUUUUUUUGUGAGUCAAAUUCUACUUCUAUUGGCUAUAUCUUCUAUUAUCUUGGAUGGGCAACUUGGCAACAACAUCUUCUCUUCUCCUUUUGUUAACAAGUAUUCUUCUCAUUCUCUCCUUUUCUAUAUAUCUUUAAUUAUAAUUAUAAUUUAAAAUUGAGUAUUCUAAGGUUUAAUUAGGGAUGAAUUAUAAUUUUUGGGAUUUUAUUGAAAUUAAUUAGGGUUUUGAUUAGGGAUGAAUUAUUCUAGGGCUUUGAUUUGGGAUUUUGUUAAAAUUGAGUAUUCUAGGGUUUAAUUGGGGAUGAAUUAUAAUUUUU